GCCUCCGUGGAGCAAGGCAGCUCGCUCCCGCCCAUUCCAAGGGCAAUCGUAAUAGCAAUCAAGGGAGAGCCGGCGGUUCGACCCCGCCCGGAGGCA
Molecule: non-coding RNA, 96 nt
Organism: Mycena latifolia
Lineage: Eukaryota; Fungi; Basidiomycota; Agaricomycetes; Agaricales; Mycenaceae
Source: the annotation of a GenBank genome assembly